UUCUCGGUGGCUCAGAUGGAUAGAGCGUCUGCCAUGUAAGCAGGAGAGCCCGGGUUCGAGUCCCGGUCGGGUAA
RNAcentral lists this transfer RNA (74 nucleotides) under Schistocerca americana (American grasshopper). Its description in RNAcentral is "tRNA-Thr". It matches the Rfam family "tRNA". From Rfam's summary of the family: Transfer RNA (tRNA) molecules are approximately 80 nucleotides in length. Lineage: Eukaryota; Metazoa; Arthropoda; Insecta; Orthoptera; Acrididae. The record is from RNAcentral.